This 483-nucleotide ribosomal RNA is filed under the name uncultured bacterium. Its description in RNAcentral is "bacterial SSU rRNA". It matches the Rfam family "Bacterial small subunit ribosomal RNA", at positions 28 to 507 of the family's 1533-position model. The record is from RNAcentral.
GAUGAACGCUAGCGGCAGGCUUAAUACAUGCAAGUCGAGGGGCAGCGCGGGUAGCAAUACCUGGCGGCGACCGGCGCACGGGUGCGUAACGCGUAUGUAAUCUACCAUUAACCGGGGAAUAGCCCAGAGAAAUCUGGAUUAAUGCCCCAUAGCAUUAUUGGAAGGCAUCUUUUGAUAAUUAAAGAAUUUCGGUUUUGAUGAACAUGCGUGUCAUUAGUUUGUUGGUGAGGUAACGGCUCACCAAGACUACGAUGACUAGGGGGUCUGAGAGGAUGAUCCCCCACACUGGUACUGAGACACGGACCAGACUCCUACGGGAGGCAGCAGUAAGGAAUAUUGGGCAAUGGAGGCAACUCUGACCCAGCCAUGCCGCGUGAAGGAUUGACGGCCCUCUGGGUUGUAAACUUCUUUUGUACGGGAAUAACCCUCCGAACGUGUUCGGAGCUGAAGGUACCGUAAGAAUAAGGAUCGGCUAACUCCGUG